This 331-nucleotide unclassified non-coding RNA is filed under the name soil metagenome. RNAcentral's name for it is "partial contains 5.8S ribosomal RNA, internal transcribed spacer 2, and large subunit ribosomal RNA". The stretch from base 1 to 120 matches the Rfam family "5.8S ribosomal RNA", at positions 35 to 154 of the family's 154-position model. The record is from RNAcentral.
GAUGAAGAACGUAGCGAAAUGCGAUAAGUAAUGUGAAUUGCAGAAUUCAGUGAAUCAUCGAAUCUUUGAACGCACAUUGCGCCCGCCAGUAUUCUGGCGGGCAUGCCUGUUCGAGCGUCAUUUCAACCAUCAAGCCCUGCUUGCGUUGGGGUCCUGCGGCUGCCCGCAGGCCCUGAAAACCAGUGGCGGGCUCGCUAGUCACACCGAGCGCAGUAAUACAUCUCGCUUUGGGCGUGCGGCGGGUUCUUGCCGUUAAACACCCCCUUUUUACCAAGGUUGACCUCGGAUCAGGUAGGAAUACCCGCUGAACUUAAGCAUAUCAAGCGGAGGA